GGAUUGACGUGACGGUCGUGCCUUACGGGGCAUGAACUGUCGCCGUUGAUUUCUCACCUUCUGGAGAAGCUCGAUGUCCUUAAUUGGGUGUCUUGCGGAACCAGGACCUUUACUUUGAAAAAUUAGAGUGUUUAAAGCAGGCAUUUUUGCUUGAAUUCAUUAGCAUGGAAUAAUAAAAUAGGGCGGCAUGGUUCUAUUUUGUUGGUUUCUAGGACCGCCGUAAUG
RNAcentral lists this ribosomal RNA (225 nucleotides) under uncultured Glomeromycotina. RNAcentral's name for it is "partial small subunit ribosomal RNA". The stretch from base 91 to 225 matches the Rfam family "Eukaryotic small subunit ribosomal RNA", at positions 733 to 867 of the family's 1831-position model. Lineage: Eukaryota; Fungi; Glomeromycota. The record is from RNAcentral.